This 64-nucleotide transfer RNA is filed under the name Cantharis pellucida. Its description in RNAcentral is "tRNA-Leu". The record is from RNAcentral. RNAcentral also lists the same sequence under 1 other name. Lineage: Eukaryota; Metazoa; Arthropoda; Insecta; Coleoptera; Cantharidae.
GUUACUUUGGCAGAUUAGUGCAAUUGAUUUAGAAUCAUUUUAUGUAAAUUUUUUACAGGUAAUA